Molecule: ribosomal RNA, 520 nt
Filed under: uncultured bacterium
Lineage: Bacteria
Description: bacterial SSU rRNA
Rfam family: Bacterial small subunit ribosomal RNA
Source: RNAcentral
AAUAGAUACCCAGGUAGUCCACGCCGUAAACGAUGAGUGCUAAGUGUUGGAGGGUUUCCGCCCUUCAGUGCUGCAGCUAACGCAUUAAGCACUCCGCCUGGGGAGUACGGUCGCAAGACUGAAACUCAAAGGAAUUGACGGGGGCCCGCACAAGCGGUGGAGCAUGUGGUUUAAUUCGAAGCAACGCGAAGAACCUUACCAGGUCUUGACAUCUCCUGACCGCCCUGGAGACAGGGUCUUCCCUUCGGGGACAGGAUGACAGGUGGUGCAUGGUUGUCGUCAGCUCGUGUCGUGAGAUGUUGGGUUAAGUCCCGCAACGAGCGCAACCCUUGGUUCUAGUUGCCAGCAUUGAGUUGGGCACUCUAGAGCGACUGCCGGCGACAAGUCGGAGGAAGGUGGGGAUGACGUCAAAUCAUCAUGCCCCUUAUGACCUGGGCUACACACGUGCUACAAUGGAUGGUACAAAGGGCAGCAAAGCGGCGACGCAUGAGCGAAUCCCAGAAAACCAUUCUCAGUUCGG